RNAcentral lists this ribosomal RNA (497 nucleotides) under uncultured bacterium. RNAcentral's name for it is "partial 16S ribosomal RNA". It matches the Rfam family "Bacterial small subunit ribosomal RNA", at positions 28 to 507 of the family's 1533-position model. The record is from RNAcentral.
GAUGAACGCUGGCGGCGUGCCUAAUACAUGCAAGUCGAGCGAAAGGACGAGGAGCUUGCUUUGCUGAUGUUAGCGGCGGACGGGUGAGUAACACGUGGAUAACCUACCUGUAAGACUGGGAUAACUUCGGGAAAGCGGAGCUAAUACGGGAGAAUAUUUUGAACCGCAGGGUGCAAAGGUGAAAGACGGUCGUGGUGUCACGUAUAGAUGGAUCCGCGCUGCAUUAGGUAGUUGGUAAGGUAACGGCUUACCAAGGCAACGAUGCAUAACCGACCUGAGAGGGUGAUCGGCCACACUGGAACUGAGACACGGUCCAGACUCCUACGGGAGGCAGCAGUAGGGAAUCUUCCGCAAUGGGCGAAAGCCUGACGGAGCGACGCCGCGUGAGUGAUGAAGGUCUUCGGAUCGUAAAACUCUGUUAUUAGGGAAGAACAUAUGUGUAAGGAACUGUGCACAUCUUGACGGUACCUAAUCAGAAAGCCACGGCUAACUACGUG